Molecule: ribosomal RNA, 253 nt
Filed under: uncultured bacterium
Lineage: Bacteria
Description: partial 16S ribosomal RNA
Rfam family: Archaeal small subunit ribosomal RNA
Source: RNAcentral
UACCAGCACCCCGAGUGGUCGGGACGUUUAUUGGGCCUAAAGCAUCCGUAGCCGGUUCUACAAGUCUUCCGUUAAAUCCGCCUGCUCAACAGUUGGGCUGCGGAGGAUACUAUAGAGCUAGGAGGCGGGAGAGGCAAGCGGUACUUAGUGGGUAGGGGUAAAAUCCGUUGAUCCAUUGAAGACCACCAGUGGCGAAGGCGGCUUGCCAGAACGCACUCGACGGUGAGGGAUGAAAGCUGGGGGAGCAAACCGG